This 497-nucleotide ribosomal RNA is filed under the name uncultured bacterium. RNAcentral describes it as "partial 16S ribosomal RNA". It matches the Rfam family "Bacterial small subunit ribosomal RNA", at positions 28 to 507 of the family's 1533-position model. The record is from RNAcentral.
GAUGAACGCUGGCGGCGUGCCUAAUACAUGCAAGUCGAGCGAACAGAUGAGGAGCUUGCUCCUCUGACGUUAGCGGCGGACGGGUGAGUAACACGUGGAUAACCUACCUAUAAGACUGGGAUAACUUCGGGAAACCGGAGCUAAUACCGGAUAAUAUAUUGAACCGCAUGGUUCAAUAGUGAAAGACGGUUUUGCUGUCCCUUAUAGAUGGAUCCCCGCCGCAUUAGCUAGUUGGUAAGGUAACGGCUUACCAAGGCGACGAUGCGUAGCCGAUCUGAGAGGAUGAUCAGUCACACUGGAAAGGAGACACGGUCCAGACUCCUACGGGAGGCAGCAGUGGGGAAUAUUGCCCAAUGGGGGAAAGCCUGAUCGAGCCAACCCGCGUGGGUGAAGAAGGUCUUUGGGUUGUAAAACCCUUUUAUUUGGGAAGAAAAGAAGUAGGUUAAAACCUUGCUGUUUUGACGGUACCCAAAGAAGAAGCCCCGGCUAACUUCGUG